RNAcentral lists this long non-coding RNA (5348 nucleotides) under Bos taurus (domestic cattle). Its description in RNAcentral is "long non-coding RNA NONBTAT029094". The record is from RNAcentral. Lineage: Eukaryota; Metazoa; Chordata; Mammalia; Artiodactyla; Bovidae.
AAAUAACAAUAGUAAGUUAUAACAAUUAAACUUGUAUAAUCUAACAGCCUCAAAAUAUAAAAAGUUAAAAUUGAAGAUGACAAGAAAUGUUCAAAUUUGGAAAGAAAUUAAACUGCCAUUUGUGAGUUCAGAGAAACUAGGCAAUGAGAAAGUAAAAUAACUUACACUAGAUGUUAGCAUUUCAGUCUUUAAUGCUCACCACUUAGUGUAUCAUCAUUUCUAAGGGUAGAAAAAAAUGAAAAAGUUAUAGCAGGUAAGGUUUUGUGACUCUUAAAACCUUGUCUUUUUCCAUGCAUGCUUCUGUGAAAAUAAUAACUUGCUUUUUCAGUAGAAAUGCCAACAAAUAUACCUGUUCAGUGAGUCCUUUCUAGAUUAUUAAAAGAGAACAAUCCCAUGGCCAUAAUUUUACCAAUUUUUCUGUUAGUUCAAUAAUAAGUGAAGGUGAAGGGAGAGGACCACCAAUUCUGUGUUCCUUAUUUGUGUUCUCAUUUACUCUUUCCGUCAACCUUAGUAAGUAUUCUUUUAACUCUGUUUAACUGAUAAGAAAUUGAGACACCAAAGAAAUUAAGUAACUUAGCUAAACUUAUACAGUUUAUAAAACAGGAGAGCCUAGAUUCAAACUUGUUUUAGUGCCAGAGCCUCAGCACCAUCCUUAACACCAACACCACAACAAUCCCUGAGUAUAUACUGAGUCUUGUAUUGUGAAGAAGAGGAAAUAGUAAAAUCAGAUCCAAAGAUCUGAAAAUGAAAAGUCUAAAUAAGAACACUUAAUUGAAAUACAUUAAUCAGUGUUUCAAGAUGAGUUAGUUCUUGAUAGCUAGAUUAUGAAACAUACGAGUGCCGAAAAAGAAACCUGGGAAAGAUACUUACCUUAUAAUGAAAUAUAUUCCUUUUCUUGCUUUCAAUAGUUUCCUUUAUAUAUGCUGCUUAUGUGUAUUGGUGUAAAUGGUUAAAAAUUUUAAUAACUCCAUAAUCUCUUUUUUCUUUUUCCUUAAGAUUGUUGUUUCUUAUUUUCAGAAGAGUGUUCCAAAUUUUUGAAUCCAACAAUUCUCAAAGUGAAAGUAUGUUGUCAUAAAUUCAUGAAUCCAAGUAUUUAAAAAUAACAUUUUACUAAUACUUUAUACAUUUAUCUCUAAACAUGGAAACAUGGCAAUAUUCAAGUUUUAUUUGAAUUAACUAUUAUAGUAAUAAAGCCAGAGAAUUUUAUUAAGGUCACACUGAAACUUUUUCAUUUCAUACAUACAGUUUUAAUACAAAUGAACUUAAGACUCAUCUACUUAACUAACAAUUUAAGUUCUAUGACUUUACUGAACAUUUAUUACUAUAUUCUUACAGCAUCUUUCCUAACAAGCUUGCAGGAACCAGAUUAAAUGCCCUUGACUCCAGUUACUACCAAAGCAAAUCCUGGUAAAUUAUAUCUGACAUAUGUCACACAUGACAGUCAAGACGUGUUUUAACUUCUACAAAUUCUAUAGAGACUUUAUUAUGAAUUUCAUAAAGAACACUCUGUCAUAUUUUACUUUUUUAAUGAAAUGUAGCUAAAGUUGGACAUGGGCUACACCUUGAAGAAGUUUAGGAUGAAACCUAUGUGUAUAUAGGUCCCUUGGCUAUCAUCUAAAUUGUAUAUUAAAGUCCUUGUUAACUUGGAAGCUAGGAACAUAUACAUCUUUAUGUAAUGUUUUAAGUAAUUUCUUCCAAAUUCUUUAAAUUCAAACUAUACAGUCCCAUAGUUAGCGAGGCAUGAUGGGUACUUUUCCAGUAUUUGCAUGGUAGAUUAUGACUUGCUAAUAGAAUCAGAGUGAAAUAUUAUAAAAAAUAUCCUACACAGUCUACAUAAUCUACAUCCUUAAGAUUACCAUUAAAAUUCACUUACUAAAGGAAUUUACAAAGGCUUUCCUAACGCAAAGAAUCUUCAGUCCUGGUAAAUUCAAAUUAUUGCAUUAACUCUUUUUAUUUAAAUUUUUAUAAAACUUAUUCUAUGGAAACUCCCUAAAUUUUUAGAAAGAGAAACUUUUUAGUCCUGAGUUCAGUUUCAUUUUACAACUCAUUACUGGAAUGUGAUUAAAUAAAUCAUGUUACAGUAUAUAAGAAGCCCAUUUUGGUAUUAUAGAAGAAAAUUGUUAAGUACUAAAAUAAAAUGAAUUGUUUGAAAAUAUGUAUGGUUAAUUGCAUGAAAGUUGAUGGUUGGAUGUUCAUACCAUUUUAAGAUUUGGAAGGAGUAUUUUUUGCUGAAUAUGAUAGAAAUAUUCUUAACGUUCAUGAUGACACUGACCCAGUUUAAAAAGUCUAUUAGUUAAUAAUCCUCAAAGAAUAAAGUUUUUUCUUAUUAAAAUGUCCACAUAAAAAUCAGCUUCUGGAAGGUAGUUAAUUCAUAACAAAUUUUAAGUAAAACAUUUUUAGAUGUAACUAAUGUCAUAAAUCCGUUUUCUACCCUAAGAGUAUAUAUAGCACAUCUUCCUUUUUCCAUAAUGUAUUAAGAUCAUCUAAAAAUGAAUCUUAUCAGUUCUGGGGCACAAAGGAUGUCUCAAUAUAAAUGUAUAACAGUUUUUACACUGUAGCUAAGUGUAGAAACUAGGAAAUCACCCUAAUCUCAGGCAGGAAAAAAAAAAAAAGGAAAAAUAGUGAAAACUUACUGCUUAACUAGUGAAGUGUGAAAGAGACUAACCAAAUUCAACCAAGUUAUCAAAACCCAUCAUCGAUAAGUUUGUAGAGGUAGAUGUUUUAAAUAUUCAAUAUGUGAGGACAGGUAAGUCUGAGCUUGAGUUUUAAACAAGUCAUUCUCUAAAGACAGACACAUAGCUAGGGCACAGGCAUAAAAAUGUAUUUGUAAACAUAGGAUUGUUGCUGAGUUUAUUUUCAGUUUUCUUUCUGCAUAGACAUUAGGAUAUUAAAUGUGUUAUUUUAUUGAGAACUAUUCUUAUAAACACUUGGAUACUGCCUGAAUAAAAUAAUCCUAAGGUUGACUUUAUAGGGUAGGAAAAAUUUACAUCUAUUAGUAUCUUUUGAAAAAUAGUUUGCAUAAUAGGGAUAUUACUAAGGAUUUUAGGAAGUUUCUUUUACGUGUUGUUAAAAGUAUGUUAUAGAAGUGGAUAUUGUGUAGCUUUCUUUGCUUUGGUACCAAAGUUAAGACAUUUUGAAAACUAAGAUCUUAAAUAUGACUAGCAAGAAACACUCUGAAAGCAUUAAAAAUAAUCUCAAAUUGUUACUGUAUACUUUAAAAUUGUUAUCCUUUAGAUUUUUUUCUCUAAAACAAAGAAAAAAGAUAUGCUUUUUUAGGUAAUACUUUUUAUAUUAAUUAAACAUUUCCUUUAUGUACUGUCAUUGGUUGUUUCAGAACUAUGAGGCUAAGGUUUAGUCUUCUUAGUUCAUUUUUAUAUCAUGACAUAACAAAAAGGACAUGAUAAUUAAAAGCUAAAACAUUGAUCUCAUUGUUAUUAAAGCUGCUUUUGCUAUCAUGGAUAUGUUAUAUUAGCUAUAAAAUAAGAGGAAAAUAUCACAAGUUAAAUGGAACAGGUUUUUUUGGGGAUACAUUAACACUACCUGCAUUUUUAAAAUAUUUUAUAUAUGAAGAGAAAGAUGAAGUAAUGUAAUCUUUACAGAAUUUAGUGAAUGCACUGUGGAAAUACAGGAAAACAUUUUGGCAAAGAGCACAUUUGCCUACAAUAUAUUACCUAAGAAAAAUACCAAUGUAAAUCUGUUUUUGAAGCAAAAUGCAAUUAUUCUUGGACUCUAGAAAUUUAUUAAAGUUUUAGAAAAAAAUGCUUUGGUGUAUACUAAAUAAGCCUGAAUUAUAAAUAUGGGAUUAAAAUGUAUACUGAAAAUACCAGACAAGUGGAAUUAGAUUGUUUCAUGAUUUUUUUGAUUAGGGCUCUAACUAUAGAACACUGGACCAUAACAUACAGCAUGCUACUUUCAAAAUUAAUGUAGGAAAAUAAAAUAUUCUCAAUAGAUGGAUUGGCCUUUGGAUGUGUCAGAAUAUCUUUAUAUUACUUAUUCUAUAACUGUGCUAUAUUAUAUUUUAUUCCUAAACAUAAAUAUUUUAGCGUAGAAACAUUUUGGUGAAAUACUCCAAAAAUACAUACUUCAAUGGUAGUUCAUUAUUCUUUAUGAGACAGGGUUAAAAAAAGUUAACUCGUUAUAACUGGGUUUUCUUUCUAAUGUUGUAAGAAAGUUUUAAUAUAUAAUUUUAAAAAUAUGUAAUUCUUACUCUUUCCUAAUAGAGGUGCAAACCAACUCUAGUUAUUUGAGUGGACAUGAAAUUAAAAUAGUGAAAAAAAUAAGACUCCUAGCAUUGUGCAAUCAAAUGUAAAUAAAUGCUAUAAUAAAUUUCCAUGUAGUCAGUUUAAAUAUUGCUUAUUUAUGUAAUUUCUAUUUUUUAUUAUUAAAAAGAAUAUAAUGUUUUUGCAGAAGAAAAUUGGUAUAUAUAUUAAACAGGCAGCAUUUAAAGAGAAGUUGGCAUGCAUGGCCAUUUUCUAUUUUAAAAAGUUCUACUUAGUGUGUGGUGUUUUUUUAAUAAUAAACUUUUCUAAUCUGUAAAAGCAGACAAUCAAGCUUUGUAUUUAAAAGGUGAAAAAUAAUGUUAUGGUUAAGUUUUACUUAGUCCAAGUUAAUGUUUUGAAAGUCCAGAAAUCUUACAAACUAAGACCUGAAUGAAAGAUACAUAGGAAUAUUGACAGUGUCACUGUGUUAAAAGAAGGUAUUGAAUUGUACAUGAUAUAUGCAGUGAAUGUUUAUACUUGCUAAGAUGCUAUAAGAACCCCUAUACUUCUCAUAUGAAUAACAAAAGAGGGCAAGAAGUAGAUAUGGAGAUACCUUUAAGUAUAUUUAAGAAUAGUUUCAACUUUGGCCAUAGUAAUUCAUAUAAAAUACAUGGUCAUGUGACAGACUUCCAGAUAUUAUAUAUACAAAUUGUCUAUAUAUUAGUAUCUGGCAAAAUUCCUAAUGUAAACCUAGAAUUUGAAAUGUUUUACCAAAAAUAUUUAAUAUAAGUAGAAUAUAAACAAACCUAAGUAUAAUGAAAACAAAUAUCUAUAGAUAUUAUCUCCCUAAUAAGAUAGUUUUUUUGAACUUAUCUUAUUGUAACAAAUGACUUGUUCCUAUGUAUAUUCUAUAUUUAUGCCAUGCUGUGUCUAAAAAAUAGAAAACAUCUGGAAUAAAACUGUAAAAUCCAAACACCAAAGAUGUUUUUAAGUGGUUGUAUAUGACAUCAUGUGGAUAAGAGCCAGAUGAUGAUCAAACUUUUCACACUUUAUCAAGAUACCUGUUCUAUAUAUAUAACCUUUGUUCUGCUUGUUACAGAUUAUAAGUCUGUGUUAUUUAAGUAUGUGUGAAUUAAUAAAGGAAACCAU